Molecule: long non-coding RNA, 442 nt
Organism: Coffea eugenioides
Lineage: Eukaryota; Viridiplantae; Streptophyta; Magnoliopsida; Gentianales; Rubiaceae
Exons: 2
Source: RefSeq, a predicted model, not a curated record
UGUACAUACAAGUGGGCUUUUGAACAGGAUUGAAUUAGUUGUCACAUCUCCAUUGCUAAGGACUAUGCAAACUGUUGUUGGGGUAUUUGGUGGUGAUGGCAUACAGACAGGACGGAUAUCUUGCCACUCAUGUUGGCAAAUGCAGGAAAUAGUCGGCAUGCUGCAAUUUCAAGCCUUAAUUGUCCUCCUAUUGUUGCAUUAGAACUUUGUCAAGAGCAUUUGGUAGGUCCUUUGAAGGUUAUGUGUGCACUUUUGAUUUUAAACGUGAACAUUCUUGUGGCUGUGGAUAGCAUUCUGAUUUUCUUGGUUUCAAGUCGGGUAGAAAGGAACCUUUGAUUUAAUUACUAAGCUCAAAUGCUUUAUCCAGUUCAAGGGAAUUAUUUGGAACUCUUGAAUAUUUCUUUUAGAACUAAAAUAUUAUGACUACUUCCACUUAAAUCCA